Molecule: ribosomal RNA, 256 nt
Filed under: uncultured bacterium
Lineage: Bacteria
Description: partial 16S ribosomal RNA
Rfam family: Bacterial small subunit ribosomal RNA
Source: RNAcentral
UACGAAGGGGGCUAGCGUUGUUCGGAAUUACUGGGCGUAAAGGGCGCGUAGGCGGCGUGUCAAGUCAGGCGUGAAAGCCCCGGGCUCAACCUGGGAACCGCGCUUGAGACUGGCAUGCUCGAGUUCGGGAGAGGAUGGUGGAAUUCCCAGUGUAGAGGUGAAAUUCGUAGAUAUCGAAGAGGAACACCGGUGGCGAAGGCGGCCAACUGGACGAAUACUGACGCUGGAGACACGGAAAGCGUGGGGAGCAAACAGG